RNAcentral lists this transfer RNA (77 nucleotides) under Candidatus Rokuibacteriota bacterium. RNAcentral describes it as "Candidatus Rokubacteria bacterium tRNA-Arg". It matches the Rfam family "tRNA". From Rfam's summary of the family: Transfer RNA (tRNA) molecules are approximately 80 nucleotides in length. Their secondary structure includes four short double-helical elements and three loops (D, anti-codon, and T loops). Further hydrogen bonds mediate the characteristic L-shaped molecular structure. tRNAs have two regions of fundamental functional importance: the anti-codon, which is responsible for specific mRNA codon recognition, and the 3' end, to which the tRNAs corresponding amino acid is attached (by aminoacyl-tRNA synthetases). tRNAs cope with the degeneracy of the genetic code in two manners: having more than one tRNA (with a specific anti-codon) for a particular amino acid; and 'wobble' base-pairing, i.e. permitting non-standard base-pairing at the 3rd anti-codon position. The record is from RNAcentral. RNAcentral also lists the same sequence under 1 other name. Lineage: Bacteria; Candidatus Rokuibacteriota.
GCGCCCGUAGCUCAGUUGGAUAGAGCGUCGGACUUCGAAUCCGAAGGUCGCAGGUUCGAUUCCUGCCGGGCGCACCA